Non-coding RNA from Mycena galericulata, 94 nucleotides. NCBI's taxonomy places the organism in Eukaryota, Fungi, Basidiomycota, Agaricomycetes, Agaricales, Mycenaceae. The record is from the annotation of a GenBank genome assembly.
GACCUGGUGGUGAAAUGCAUCACAUUCACUUCUUAUAUCGUUUGACGUAAUUUUGUGUCGGUGGGAGUCCCCGGUUCGAGCCCGGGCCAGGUUG